RNAcentral lists this small nucleolar RNA (72 nucleotides) under Trichinella pseudospiralis. RNAcentral describes it as "Small nucleolar RNA SNORD24". It matches the Rfam family "Small nucleolar RNA SNORD24". Rfam says of the family: U24 is a member of the C/D class of snoRNA which contain the C (UGAUGA) and D (CUGA) box motifs. C/D box snoRNAs have been shown to act as methylation guides for a number of RNA targets. U24 is encoded within an intron of the gene for ribosomal protein L7a in mammals, chicken and Fugu. The record is from Rfam by way of RNAcentral. Lineage: Eukaryota; Metazoa; Nematoda; Enoplea; Trichinellida; Trichinellidae.
UAAACAUGAUGACACUAUUUGCUACUCUUAAAAAUAAUGAAGAAUUCUAAACCACCAAAGAAAUCUGAUUUA